This is a non-coding RNA of Salvia hispanica, 521 nucleotides long. The record is from RefSeq and is a predicted model, not a curated record. NCBI's taxonomy places the organism in Eukaryota, Viridiplantae, Streptophyta, Magnoliopsida, Lamiales, Lamiaceae.
CGACGCCGUGUCCGCCGAUAUCCGGAAUGCCACUGCCUGCUUCCCCACCGCUCCCGGCGCUGGCACCGGCGUCGUGUUCUGCAUUGCAUGCCUCAUUAUUAUAUGUUUGAGACGAGCGAGCCGGGAUAGAAAAAUGAAAGUAACAUUGGAUAGAGGGAGUAUGACAUGUAUGAAUAUAAAUAAAAGAGGGAUCCGAUUCCGAUCCAUACCUUGAAAGUGAUGUUCUUGGCUAUAAAAUAAGGGGAAUUAACUGCAAAAGUAGCGGAGCCGUAUGUGCCGAGGGGUCGGCCGUUGGGGCCGAGUGUUUGCGCCGUGUCGCCCCAUUCAACUAUUGUUUUGUCGGCUCCCGCCCCUUCUAUCGUUAUGAACGAUUUCAACUGAGGGGAAAGACUGACGAGUAGAGGCCUGCAUGAACCGUGAUGACUACUCGGACAAGAUUGACGGGAGGGAGAGAAUCGAUGGCGUCUUGAAUGGUCGUGAAAUCUCCUCUCAGCGGAUUCUUGUCGACCGUGAGAGUGUAU